This 499-nucleotide ribosomal RNA is filed under the name uncultured bacterium. Its description in RNAcentral is "partial 16S ribosomal RNA". It matches the Rfam family "Bacterial small subunit ribosomal RNA", at positions 28 to 507 of the family's 1533-position model. The record is from RNAcentral.
GAUGAACGCUGGCGGCGUGCCUAAUACGUGCAAGUCGAGCGAACAGACGAGAGUGCUUGCCCUCUCUGACGUUAGCGGCGGACGGGUGAGUAACACGUGGGUAACCUACCUAUAAGACUGGGAUAACUUCGGGAAACCGGAGCUAAUACCGGAUAAUAUUUAGCUUCGCAUGAAGCAAUAGUGAAAGACGGUUCUGCUGUCACUUAUAGAUGGACCCGCGGUGUAUUAGCUAGUUGGUGAGGUAACGGCUCACCAAGGCAACGAUACAUAGCCGACCUGAGAGGGUGAUCGGCCACACUGGGACUGAGACACGGCCCAGACUCCUACGGGAGGCAGCAGUAGGGAAUCUUCCGCAAUGGACGAAAGUCUGACGGAGCAAUGCCGCGUGAGUGAAGAAGGUUUUCGGAUCGUAAAACUCUGUUGUAAGGGAAGAACAAGUACGUUAGUAACUGAACGUACCUUGACGGUACCUUACCAGAAAGCCACGGCUAACUACGUG